UAAAUGACUCUCGGCAACGGAUAUCUCGGCUCUUGCAUCGAUGAAGAACGUAGCGAAAUGCGAUACUUGGUGUGAAUUGCAGAAUCUCGCGAACCAUCAAUUCUUUGAACGCAAGUUGCGCCCGAAGCCAUUCGGCCGAGGGCACGCCUGCCUGGGUGUCGUGA
RNAcentral lists this ribosomal RNA (164 nucleotides) under Andesanthus silvestris. RNAcentral's name for it is "Tibouchina silvestris 5.8S ribosomal RNA". It matches the Rfam family "5.8S ribosomal RNA". From Rfam's summary of the family: 5.8S ribosomal RNA (5.8S rRNA) is a component of the large subunit of the eukaryotic ribosome. It is transcribed by RNA polymerase I as part of the 45S precursor that also contains 18S and 28S rRNA. Functionally, it is thought that 5.8S rRNA may be involved in ribosome translocation. The record is from RNAcentral. Lineage: Eukaryota; Viridiplantae; Streptophyta; Magnoliopsida; Myrtales; Melastomataceae.